CCCUUAGAUGUUCUGGGCCGCACGCGUGCUACACUGAUGCAUUCAACGAGUCUAAAACCUGGUCUGAUAGGGCUGGGUAAUCUUUUGAAAGUGCAUCGUGAUUGGGAUAGAUGAUUGCAAUUCUUCAUCUUCAACGAGGAAUGCCUAGUAAACGCAAGUCAUCAGCUUGCAUUGAUUACGUCCCUGCCCUUUGUACACACCGCCCGUCGCUCCUACCGAUUGGAUGAUCCGGUGAGCUAUUCGGACUUUCGCAUUGUCGAUUUUCGGCUUUACGAGGGAAAGUCUCGCGAACCUUAUCAUCUAGAGGAAGGAGAAGUCGUAACA
Molecule: ribosomal RNA, 324 nt
Filed under: uncultured eukaryote
Lineage: Eukaryota
Description: partial 18S ribosomal RNA
Rfam family: Eukaryotic small subunit ribosomal RNA
Source: RNAcentral